This 544-nucleotide ribosomal RNA is filed under the name uncultured Seiridium. RNAcentral's name for it is "SSU rRNA". It matches the Rfam family "Eukaryotic small subunit ribosomal RNA", at positions 548 to 1098 of the family's 1831-position model. The record is from RNAcentral. Lineage: Eukaryota; Fungi; Ascomycota; Sordariomycetes; Amphisphaeriales; Amphisphaeriaceae.
UUGGAGGGCAAGUCUGGUGCCAGCAGCCGCGGUAAUUCCAGCUCCAAUAGCGUAUAUUAAAGUUGUUGCAGUUAAAAAGCUCGUAGUUGAACCUUGGGCCUGGCUGGCCGGUCCGCCUCACCGCGUGCACUGGUUCGGCCGGGCCUUUCCCUCUGGGGAACCCUAUGGUCUUCACUGAUCGUAGCGGGGAACCAGGACUUUUACUGUGAAAAAAUUAGAGUGUUCAAAGCAGGCCUAUGCUCGAAUACAUUAGCAUGGAAUAAUAAAAUAGGACGUGUGGUCCUAUUUUGUUGGUUUCUAGGACCGCCGUAAUGAUUAAUAGGGACAGUCGGGGGCAUCAGUAUUCAAUUGUCAGAGGUGAAAUUCUUGGAUUUAUUGAAGACUAACUACUGCGAAAGCAUUUGCCAAGGAUGUUUUCAUUAAUCAGGAACGAAAGUUAGGGGAUCGAAGACGAUCAGAUACCGUCGUAGUCUUAACCAUAAACUAUGCCGACUAGGGAUCGGACGGUGUUAUUUUUUGACCCGUUCGGCACCUUACGGGAAAC